This 23-nucleotide non-coding RNA is filed under the name Arabidopsis thaliana (thale cress). Lineage: Eukaryota; Viridiplantae; Streptophyta; Magnoliopsida; Brassicales; Brassicaceae. The record is from RNAcentral.
CUGCAAAAUCUUAUCUACUUCUA